CAUUAAGAAGCUAUAUCCAAGCAUUAGCCUUUUAAGCUAAAGAGAGAGGGCCCCCGCACCUCCUUAAUG
Molecule: transfer RNA, 69 nt
Filed under: Rhinopomastus cyanomelas (common scimitar-bill)
Lineage: Eukaryota; Metazoa; Chordata; Aves; Bucerotiformes; Rhinopomastidae
Description: tRNA-Lys
Source: RNAcentral